CGAGUACUUGUACUUGGUGGCGACCGGCGCACGGGUGCGUAACGCGUAUGCAACCUACCUUAUACAGAGGGAUAGCCCAGAGAAAUUUGGAUUAAUACCUCAUAGUAUCAUUUGAAGGCAUCUGAAGAUGAUUAAAGAUUUAUCGGUAUAAGAUGGGCAUGCGUAAGAUUAGUUAGUUGGUGAGGUAACGGCUCACCAAGACUUCGAUCUUUAGGGGUUCUGAGAGGAUGAUCCCCCACACUGGUACUGAGAUACGGACCAGACUUCUACGGGAGGCAGCAGUAGGGAAUAUUGGUCAAUGGGCGAGAGCCUGAACCAGCCAUGCCGCGUGCAGGAAGACGGCCUUCUGGGUUGUAAACUGCUUUUAUAUGGGAAGAAAACGGCCUUGCGAGGCAGAUUGACGGUACCAUAUGAAUAAGCACCGGCUAACUCCGUGCCAGCAGCCGCGGUAAUACGGAGGGUGCAAGCGUUGUCCGGAUUUAUUGGGUUUAAAGGGUACGUAGGCGGCCAAUUAAGUCAGUGGUGAAAUCCUGCAGCUCAACUGUAGAACUGCCUUUGAAACUGUUAUUCUUGAGUAUGGUAGGGGUAAGCGGAAUUUAUAAUGUAGCGGUGAAAUGCAUAGAUAUUAUAAAGAACACCGAUAGCGAAGGCAGCUUACUGGACCAUAACUGACGCUAAUGUACGAAAGCGUGGGUAGCGAA
This 701-nucleotide ribosomal RNA is filed under the name uncultured bacterium. RNAcentral's name for it is "bacterial SSU rRNA". It matches the Rfam family "Bacterial small subunit ribosomal RNA", at positions 73 to 772 of the family's 1533-position model. The record is from RNAcentral.